CGAAGAACACCGCUCGGUUUCUCUCGGUAUUCGUGCAGAGAAACUGGUGAAAUGAUUUUACGGGUGAAAAUAAGCUCUAGAAAGGUCUAUUUAUAUUUACAAAUAAUUGGUACCCCUUUGGAUCGUUUAUGACAUGAAAAUACGUAUUUAAUAGCUUUAUAUUAAUAAAGCGGGGUCCAAUCGGUACUGGUUUUCAAGAUAAUCAUCAAAACGGGGCUUUUUAAUCAGUCAUUAGUAUGCGGGUCCCACUGCAAUUAUUACAAGAUAAGGAUGAAUCAAAAUAUCUAGUUUCACGUUUAUCGAGACAACAAGAUAAUUAUCAACAAUUAAAAUACCCGAAAAACUCCGCCGGACCGACUCCGGGGAAAACCGUACUCCGGAUCGAAAAAGUCAAAACACGAAAAAUGUCCGGAAUAUUCAAAUUAGGCUAAAGGUUAGUUUUGUUGAAACUUCCGGAAAGAAAAUUUGCUACCUCGUUACGAGUGGACGGUUUUACGGAAGUCAAAUAAUUAAUAAAUAAAUAUAAAUAUACACAAUUAAAUCCGUAAAUCGAUUAUAAAAUCAUAUAACAUUCCAUAAAUCGAUAUGAAAAUAUCCAAAUAAACUAUAUUUUCUCAUGAGCAUAUAGAAAUUGAAAUCUCGCGAAUACGAACACAUAUGAGCAUUCAGGUCAAUAAACUAGAUAACACAAAAUUCACAAAAAUUCAUAUAUUAAUCAUAUCAUAUUAAUAAUUAAUCAUAACUAAUUAACAAACAAAUUCACCAAUACCACUUAAUCACAUAACACAUAUAUUCACAUAAUAUUCAUACAGAAUUUUCAAAACAAUAUAUGAAAAUCAGUUUUGAAAAUACAAUUAUUUAUCAAUAACACAAUAACCCGGGGUUUAAAUAUAAAACUUUGAAAACUCAUUAAACUGGAAUAAAAUAUUAAAUCUUAUUCCUUUCUUUUUAAGAAAAUCAUUUAUAAUAUUAACAAAAAUAUUUUUAAAAUCCGGGUUAUUACACCAUAUCGUUGUGAUUUCGAGGAGUGGGCAAUGGAAUAGAAUGAGAAUGAGAAUGAGGAUGAGGAGGAGGAGGAGGAUUGUGAUGAAUCAAGUGACCACCAAAUGUACUAUUGAUUGGAAUUGGCAUCUCACCAUCUUGACCUGAGAGUUCCAUUUCUUGACUUGUGUUGUUUAUUUGGAGACCAAAGUUGAAGAAACAACAAGAGAGGAAGAGAAGAAUUAUCUUGGAUGUGUAAAUUAUUUAAGAUCAAAAGUGAUGGGUGAGCUACCUUAACAAACCAAUUUCUAGGAGCUUGUUUUUAACCACUUGUGCACUCUAAAAAAGUAAACAUGCAUGCUACACAAUUAGGAAACUAUUACUAAUCAUUGAUCCUACCUAUUAUACUACAAAACAUGACAUUCUUUAUAUUUUCCUCAACCUCAGCAAAAAUAAUUAAUUAGAAAAGUGCACACCUUGAAAUAAACUAGUGUGUGGGCAUGUGUCUUUUUUUUUUUUGGUUAAUCAGGCAGACAUGGCUAGCCAUGAGAACAAAGACUCUGACCAAAAGAAACAAGAAAAGAACUCAGGAGAAGCCUGAACAAUGACAGAAUGAGAUAAACUUGUAGACAUAAUUAAGCUACAACUAAGAAGAGAAAAGAGAAAACAGUAAAAAAUUGUUGGGUUUAGUUUAAGAUAGUAUUAUAAAAAGCAGGAAUAUAGGUCUGCAGAUUUCAGAGAAGGAGAAGAAGAAAGACAAUGGAGAGUUUUCUCACUCUCCUAUCGGCACAUAACACAUCCAACCAAUAGCAGACAACACACAACACAUAAGGUUUCCCAUCCCAAUUGAUCUUAAAUCAAGUCUUGGGUUAAAAAUGAUUUUUCGGGAAUUUUCUGGAAUUUUUAAACAUUUUUCGGAAUUAAAAUCGAUAAAAGAAUCACUUUUCGGAUAAAUAAUCAAGUCCCAAAUACUUGAAAUUGGACUUGAAAUCAUUCAUAAACAAUUAUCGAGCCUUGAAAAUAAUUUAGAAAAAUAUUUCAAAGCUCGAAACCAAUUUUCGGAAUUUUUAAAUCAAAAAGGAUAAUUAAAUCCAAUUAAUUAAUCAAUUAAAAUCAAUUAAUAAUUAAUUAAAAUAAUUAAUCAAUUAAUAUUUAAAUUAAUUGACCAAUUAAAAUAAUUAAUUACUAAUUAAAAUUAAUUAACAAACUAAUUUAGAUUUAUUUUUGAAUAAAGAAAUAAUUAAAAACUAUUUUUGGAAUUUAAAAUAAUUAAAUAAAACAAUUUUAGAAAAUUAAAUCAAAAGGUUUAUUUUGUAAACUUUUGAAAGUUUUGUCCAGGGUUUAAAGUGUAACCUUUUUAAAGGUUCAGGGUCUGUUUUGCAAAGUUUCAAACCUGGGUGUUAACACUUCACCACCUUUAAAAGUCUGGGGGCCAAACAGCAAUUUCGCUGCCGCCGCCCCCUGGACUCGCCGGAAAACACCGCCCAGGCCACCACCUUCUUCCAAACUCUCCAGAAUUCAAGUAUACACUACCAGGAACUCGAAUCCACCAUCAGAAUUAGCAAAGGGUGUGUGGUUCGUCCGGAAAAACACGGAGAAGUCUCGCCGCCGGCGAGUUUUCCCCGAGUUCCGGCAAUCGAUACCGUUAUCCUUUGACGAAUUUGAAGGCGUCAACAAGCUCCUUGCAACAUGAACUUUCUAAUGGUAUAACCAAGAACAGCCCAGAAUCAAUAACAAAGAAACGCCCAAAUUCGAUUAAAAACAUUCAUAUCCUUCAAGAACACCACUAAAUAAUCAAACCCCUCUUUCUAUAUGAUUCCGAACUCCAAAUUCAACAUAUAAUAUACCAAAACGACGAGAAAAGCACGUACUACAACAUGGAAUCAUCAAAACAAUCAAAUAACCACGUUUGCAAAAAUUCACUAUUUAAAUCAUAAUAAUUCGAAUUUUAAAACUUCAAUUACUCCCUACCUGUGAAUCUCAUGUUGUUUUUGAUGAUUGAUUUGGGUUCUACUCUUCGAUAUCUUCGAUUUGACUAUUUGCACGCUUGAAUCUGACUCCAAUAACACCUUCAAAUCUUCGUUUGAUUAUGAAGAACACGAAGAACACCGCUCGGUUUCUCUCGGUAUUCGUGCAGAGAAACUGGUGAAAUGAUUUUACGGGUGAAAAUAAGCUCUAGAAAGGUCUAUUUAUAUUUACAAAUAAUUGGUACCCCUUUGGAUCGUUUAUGACAUGAAAAUACGUAUUUAAUAGCUUUAUAUUAAUAAAGCGGGGUCCAAUCGGUACUGGUUUUCAAGAUAAUCAUCAAAACGGGGCUUUUUAAUCAGUCAUUAGUAUGCGGGUCCCACUGCAAUUAUUACAAGAUAAGGAUGAAUCAAAAUAUCUAGUUUCACGUUUAUCGAGACAACAAGAUAAUUAUCAACAAUUAAAAUACCCGAAAAACUCCGCCGGACCGACUCCGGGGAAAACCGUACUCCGGAUCGAAAAAGUCAAAACACGAAAAAUGUCCGGAAUAUUCAAAUUAGGCUAAAGGUUAGUUUUGUUGAAACUUCCGGAAAGAAAAUUUGCUACCUCGUUACGAGUGGACGGUUUUACGGAAGUCAAAUAAUUAAUAAAUAAAUAUAAAUAUACACAAUUAAAUCCGUAAAUCGAUUAUAAAAUCAUAUAACAUUCCAUAAAUCGAUAUGAAAAUAUCCAAAUAAACUAUAUUUUCUCAUGAGCAUAUAGAAAUUGAAAUCUCGCGAAUACGAACACAUAUGAGCAUUCAGGUCAAUAAACUAGAUAACACAAAAUUCACAAAAAUUCAUAUAUUAAUCAUAUCAUAUUAAUAAUUAAUCAUAACUAAUUAACAAACAAAUUCACCAAUACCACUUAAUCACAUAACACAUAUAUUCACAUAAUAUUCAUACAGAAUUUUCAAAACAAUAUAUGAAAAUCAGUUUUGAAAAUACAAUUAUUUAUCAAUAACACAAUAACCCGGGGUUUAAAUAUAAAACUUUGAAAACUCAUUAAACUGGAAUAAAAUAUUAAAUCUUAUUCCUUUCUUUUUAAGAAAAUCAUUUAUAAUAUUAACAAAAAUAUUUUUAAAAUCCGGGUUAUUACACCAUAUCGUUGUGAUUUCGAGGAGUGGGCAAUGGAAUAGAAUGAGAAUGAGAAUGAGGAUGAGGAGGAGGAGGAGGAUUGUGAUGAAUCAAGUGACCACCAAAUGUACUAUUGAUUGGAAUUGGCAUCUCACCAUCUUGACCUGAGAGUUCCAUUUCUUGACUUGUGUUGUUUAUUUGGAGACCAAAGUUGAAGAAACAACAAGAGAGGAAGAGAAGAAUUAUCUUGGAUGUGUAAAUUAUUUAAGAUCAAAAGUGAUGGGUGAGCUACCUUAACAAACCAAUUUCUAGGAGCUUGUUUUUAACCACUUGUGCACUCUAAAAAAGUAAACAUGCAUGCUACACAAUUAGGAAACUAUUACUAAUCAUUGAUCCUACCUAUUAUACUACAAAACAUGACAUUCUUUAUAUUUUCCUCAACCUCAGCAAAAAUAAUUAAUUAGAAAAGUGCACACCUUGAAAUAAACUAGUGUGUGGGCAUGUGUCUUUUUUUUUUUUGGUUAAUCAGGCAGACAUGGCUAGCCAUGAGAACAAAGACUCUGACCAAAAGAAACAAGAAAAGAACUCAGGAGAAGCCUGAACAAUGACAGAAUGAGAUAAACUUGUAGACAUAAUUAAGCUACAACUAAGAAGAGAAAAGAGAAAACAGUAAAAAAUUGUUGGGUUUAGUUUAAGAUAGUAUUAUAAAAAGCAGGAAUAUAGGUCUGCAGAUUUCAGAGAAGGAGAAGAAGAAAGACAAUGGAGAGUUUUGGAGGUGGGUUUUGC
This 4847-nucleotide long non-coding RNA is filed under the name Daucus carota (carrot). RNAcentral describes it as "long non-coding RNA (DCAR_LNC000339)". Lineage: Eukaryota; Viridiplantae; Streptophyta; Magnoliopsida; Apiales; Apiaceae. The record is from RNAcentral.